Mirounga angustirostris (Northern elephant seal) is the source of this 4758-nucleotide RNA transcript. It is a transcript of the gene named RNA polymerase I subunit E, with no coding region annotated. The record is from RefSeq and is a predicted model, not a curated record. The transcript has 16 exons. NCBI's taxonomy places the organism in Eukaryota, Metazoa, Chordata, Mammalia, Carnivora, Phocidae.
CGAGGCGUUGCCGGUGAGGCCACGCCUCUUCCGCCCCGCAGCUCCGACACCGCGUGUGGACUGCUCACGCUGCCGGGGCCGGGUUUCUCUGAACUCAACCUUGGUGUCCGGACUGGCGAGAUGGCGGCGGAGGUGUUGCCGAGUGCGAGGUGGCUGUACUGUGGGGAGCCCGACGAGAGCCAGAGAGCAGUACUGGUCCAGUUCUCCAAUGGGAAGCUGCAGAAUCCAGGCAACAUGCGUUUUACUUUGUACAAGAGCAAUGACUCCACAAACCCCAGGAAGAAGAGUCAGCGGAUCCUAGCAGCUGAAACAGACAGACUUUCCUAUGUGGGAAACAAUUUUGGGACCGGAGCUCUCAAAUGCAACACUCUGUGCAGGCAUUUUGUGGGAAUUCUGAACAAGACCUCUGGCCAGAUGGAGGUGUAUGAUGCUGAGUUGUUCAACAUGCAGCCCCUGUUUUCAGAUGAAUCAGUUGAGAGUGAAUGGAUACAGGAGAGUGAGACCAAAACUUUUAGAGAAAAGAUGGAUUCUUGCAUCGAUGCCUUUGGAACCACCAAACAGAAGCGGGCUUUGAACUCCAGAAGAAUGAACAGAGUUGGCAGUGAAUCUCUGAAUUGUGCAGUAGCUAAAGCUGCAGAGAAUAUUAUUGAUGCAAAGGGUGUGACUGCUCUGGUCAAUGACGCCAUCCAUGAUGACCUGCAAGAUGACUCCCUCUACCUUCCUCCCUGCCACGCUGAUGCAGCCAAGCCUGAAGACGUGUAUAAAUUUGAAGACCUUCUCUCCACUGCGGAGUAUGAAGCUCUUCAGAGCCCAUCCGAAGCUUUCAGGAAUGUCUCAUCAGAGGAAAUACUGAAGAUGAUUGAGGAGAACAGCCACUGCUCCUUUGUCAUCGAAGCGUUGAAGUCUUUGCCAUCAGAUGAGGAGAGCCGAGACCGCCAGGCCCGAUGCAUAUGGUUUAUGGACACACUCAUCAAAUUUCGAGCACAGAAAGUGAUUAAGCGGAAAAGUGCCCUGGGGCCUGGAGUCCCCCACAUCAUCAACACCAAACUGCUGAAGCAUUUCACCUGCUUGACCUACAACAACGGCAGCCUCCGGAACUUAAUUUCGGAUUCUAUGAAGGCGAAGAUCACUGCAUAUGUCAUCAUACUUGCGUUGCACAUAAGCGACUUCCAGAUUGACCUGACCGUGUUACAGAGAGACUUGAAGCUCAGUGAGAGAAGGUGGCAUGCAGAUACAGGAAAAACGAGUUCAUGAUCUCAGAACGUUCUGCACACUGUGAAGUCCUCUCCUCCAGAGAUUUUCAUGAGCAUUUGGUUCACAGAAGAGUCACUACAAAAUAACAAAGGCAGCAUUUUGUACAGCGACGCCCACUGGGGCCACCAGAGAAGUGCAAAAGACAGUGCUGGGGACGGGAGGGGCCAGUGCUCAUGUGCCCACAGUCCUGGGGAGAAGCCAGUGCUCCUGGCUCCCUCCAGCCACCCCCUCCACCCAGCCCAGGAGAGCAGCACCUAGGGCCUGGCAGAACCAGCCUGGGAAGCCACUGGUAAGGUGCACAACAGCGCCCCCAACAGGCUGGUGAAGGCCCCGCAUGAAAAGCCGAGUGGGAGGGGGAGUGUUCCGGCUGAGCCAGUCCUGCAUUCAGCCCCGUCCUCAAGCAGGUGGGAUCUGUGCCCACCUGGCUCUGGAACCUUGACACAUUCACAGUACGGUACAGUAAAGCCCUUUGGGAGGCCUUCCUCCCCUCACUCAGGCUACUGACCCUAUCCCAACCCUGGACUAGGAACUGGGGACAGACUGGGAGAGCUGGUCCUACCGUCCGGGAGCUCACAGGCAGGUGAGUGGGACAGGAAUGGACCUAGAAAACUCCAAAGCAAGGCAGAAAGUGCUCAGUACCUGAGAGGGGGCAGAGAAAGGGCAGCAGAGCCUCAGAGGGGGAAGAGCAUGGUCACUGCAGGGACGGGAGCUCUGUGGAGAAGGCAGUGUCUCAGCUAAACCUCAAAGACUAGGUGGGACGUGACAUGUGCAGAUGGCGAGAAGGGCAUGCCAGGAGGAGGUCAGAGCGUGGGCCAAGGCACAGAGUGGGGAACCGUGGUCGGGUCAGUAAAGGCAGGCAGUUAUCCAUGAGAGAACACGGAUACAGACAAGGGGACCUGGGCACCUCCAUCUCCACCAGUCUGGUGCCCAGGAGGGGCAGCUGGUGGGGGUGUGCGCAGGACCCGAACCCUUGCGCGGCAGGCCCCGAGCCUGCAUCCUCCUGAGUUUGGGAACUCCCUGAGGGCGGAGUGGAGUCUCGUGCAUCCUUGCCUUGCCCAACCUGGCACCAGGCUGCUCAAAGGAGGCCUGUGUUUUCAGCAUGUCCCUUGUCAUCCCUGAGGCAGCCUGUCCAGAGAGGCUCUCUGUUCCCCUCACAGUCCACGUUCAAGUUGAAGGGAACCAAACUCAACUCCUCCAGCCUCUGUAGACAGCCGGGAGGGUGUGGCCGCAUCCCUGCAGGGAUCGAGAGAGGCCCAAGAAAGGGGAAAAUUCUGGGGCUCUUUCUACCUCACUAGAAUCACCUCCUCCCUCAGGAGUCAGUCUGCUCUUCUCUGACUAGAGUCCGGGUUUGGUGUGUGUAAAACACCACUUCCCUGUCAUUCACACAGAAAGACCUGACUGAAGUUUUAGUAUCAAUUUUCCCCAACUCCAUAACCUCUAUAAGAGCUUGAGUGACAGGAAGCCCACCAAUCUUUUUUUUUUUUCUCAGUUCCCAGGAAGCGUGGAAGCCUGUUUUCUCUGGGGUACGGUGAGUAGGAGGACCGAGAGGGGCCUAGAGCCCCUCAGAUGCCGCUUCUUCCAUCCUGACAUUGCCUUUACCUCCUGGCUCACCUGAACACCCACGAGCCUGAGUGCAGGGUAUGGGGUUGCUGCUCCCGGAGUCUGGACAGCCCUCCAGCCACCCCACCCCGCGGCUCCCAUCCUUACAGAAUGGUGCAGAAGACGCUGCGGUUGCUGUGGUAACCACCCUCCACGCGGGCUGUGAUCCUCGUUGCCAUGGCUGUCACCUUCUGCCCACUGUGGGCUGCAGAGGGGCCUCGGAGACAGCUUUCAAGGUGUAUGACAUCCAUGUGUAUAGAAGCUUUAUUCAUAACCACCCCAAACUAGAAACUACUUACCCCUUCAGCUGAUGAACGGAUAAACAGUGUGGUACAUCCAUAUAAGGGAACACUACUCCGCAACAAAAAGAAUGAAUGGCAUGUGACACCAUGGGCAAAUCUCAGGACACAUUCUCGGUUGUUGGAGAUCUGCUGAAAAAUGGUCUUGCUGGUCUUGCCCUGGAAGAUGAUGUUCUCCUGCACCAGGGCCUUGGCGCGGCCCCGCACUGCAAUGCCGUAGGCCCGGAAUGAAUGGAUCCGGUUCUUUAUUACCUGGGAGAGACCGUCAGAGCUUGUCGUACCUCGGGGACUCCCAGACUGGUGGGGGGGGGCAGAUACCAUUGCCCCGGAGCUCCACCUUGCACUGGGCCUCGACCUUGACCCCACUCUGGCGGUUGCAGGAGAUACUGUUGUUGACCACGCGGGUGAGCUGGCUGCUCUGGGCCACGGUGAUCCCUCUGUCCCCAUUAGCGUGGAUCACAUUGGUGAGGACGUGCAGCGCCUCACUGCUCUGGACGUAGAGGCCUGAGGCUAGGGGUGGAGAGGUUGGGGAGCAGGGUCAGCCCUGACAACACAGUCAGGAAAAAACCUCCAUGGAAUUGUGCACCCGGCAGAGAGGUGGGGAAGAGGCAGCCGCACUCAGAACCGGCCCCUGGGAGUUACAUCUUUCAAGAUGGAUGACAAACCAGGAAUAUCAAGGAAACUCUGUUCCUUCUGAACUUAAGUGCUCGGUAAACAGGGAAAGGUGAUGCGAGACUCCUCGGGCUCAGUGGCUCCUGAGACCCAGGCUCUCCUCCCGUGUUGCCAGCCCACUGCUGUGUGCGCCUCCUGUGACGGGGCGCUCACCACCUGUCACGGCUGCCAUUCCACCUCCACACAGAGCUACCAGCUGGACGGCUGCUCCAGUUAUCUUCCCGUACCGAGCUGGAAUCUACCUCUCUAUUGUUUUGGGAUAUUUUCUUCACAAGGGAAAUUCUGUAAUUUUUGAAUAGAAAAAUUUAUAAGCUAAAGAUCUAAAAUGUGUUAGAAAUUUUGGAAAGAGAAUGGUGUUUGGGGUUGUAUCUGCUUAGAGACACUAUAUGCUUUUAGAAAAAAAGCGUAAAACUUAGCAGGCUUAGAGCCCCAUGACUUGGCCAGGAAGAGACGGGGGCAGGGGGGGCAGGGGGGCCUGGGGAUGAAGAGGAGAGGACUCCCCAGUGGUGUCCUCCACCCACCCCAAGAGCAAGAGACCUCGGCAGCGCUGGGAGGAGGCGGUGUGGAGGACAACAUGGGGUCACAUGGGAGCCAUGAGCCUGCAAGUUCCAACCUCUUGGUGCCACCUACCUGCUGCUUCUCCUGGCCUCUGUGAAUUUAUGGGGCUUUGCCUGUCCUCCAGACAGCAGGGCCACACGGAGAAAGCCCUGAACUGGGAGGGGACAGAACUCAUUUUCUGUCAGCUCCCACUCUCCCUGCCCUCUGCUAUUCCCAGGGCAAGAGCUCGCCAGUGCCCAGAAGCCUCCUUUUAACAAGACUGCCUCCAUCAGCCCGCCACAGUGGUCCUGAUGAUCAGCCAGGUUUGGGAGCCCUGCAGUUAGAUCAACUCUGUACGUUUCUUUUUUUCCCUCAAUUCAAUAAACACUGGAAUGUC